RNAcentral lists this long non-coding RNA (1167 nucleotides) under Nothobranchius furzeri (turquoise killifish). Its description in RNAcentral is "lncRNA (ENSNFUG00015018221.1)". The record is from RNAcentral. Lineage: Eukaryota; Metazoa; Chordata; Actinopteri; Cyprinodontiformes; Nothobranchiidae.
GUGUGUGUGUGUGUGUGUGUGUGUUUACGUGUGUGUGUUUACGUGUGUGUGUGUGUGUGUGUGUGUGUGUGUGUGUGUGUGUGUGUGUGUGUGUGUGUGGUCUCUGAAAGCAUCACCCAGCAGACUGGUGUUUACAUCCCUGUGUGUUAAGGGCCGGUGGAACCGGAUCAGCUCCGGUUCUGACUCGUUUACUGGAGUUGAGGAUUACGUCUUCACUAAUCCGUUUCAUCACAACCCGAUUUUCCUGGUUUGUGGAAAAUUUUCCUCCAGAAUUAGAAGCAGAAUCUUGUCAGAUCAGGUGACCAACACAACUCCAACAUCUCAAAUCCAAUCUGGAACGUUGAUCCAAAGAAUGGCCGAGAAGAAAGAUUCAUCCAGGUCUAAACCAGGAACCGCAGUCUAAAAGUUGGAUGUUGAAGAUGUUUUUAUGGAAUAAAAUCUGAUUUUGGAGUCGAGGACAGAAGUCCAAUGGAAAAAAAAACCCUCAGAUCUGUUUCUGUAGCUUCAUCUCUGACACGCCCCCGAACCUUCACACGCCCACUCAGAAUCUGAACUGUUUUGUUUCCCGCUCCUGAUGUUUCUGUCACUGAGCUUCACUUCACCUCCAACUCCACACAAGGAAGCCUUCCAGACCAGGAGCUGUAGGGAAUGACGAGGCGUGCCUGCAGACCGGCUCAGCGCUGAGCCCGCGUGUCGUUAGGGGGGUGAAGGCUGGAUCCGGUGCAAUAUCUGUGUUUUUAAUCGUGGUGAAAGCAUGAUGUCAUCGUUGAUUUCAGCAUUAAUAAAUGUUUUUUAUCAACUCAUCAGCUGUUUUUAUUACUGUCGUGUUUCUGUUUUUAUCUGAAGUUUCUGUUGUUUCACUUCAAUUCAGUUUAUUUAUAAAGCACCAAGUCAGGACCAGACUCGUCUCAAGGACCUGCACACAGUAAACAAUACAGGUCAGGUCAUUAAGCCAAUCAGUAACAAGUGUCCUAUAUAAGGAACCCAGCAGGUCGCAUCGAGUCACUGACUAGUGUCAGAGUCUUUACAGCAAUCCUCAUACUAAGCAAGCAUGCAGUGACUGUGGAGAGGAAAACUCCCUUUUAACAGGAAGAAACCUCCAGAGAAUCCUGGCUCAGUAUAAGCAGCCAUCCUCCACGACUCACUGGGGAUGGAGAAGACAGAGCA